AGCAGCCGCGGUAAUUCCAGCUCCAAUAGCGUAUAUUAAAGUUGUUGCAGUUAAAAAGCUCGUAGUUGAAUUUCGGGAUCAAUGUUUCGGUCAUGCCCUUGGUAUGUACUGAUAUUACUGGUUUCUCACCUUCUAAAGAACCGUAAUGCCAUUAAUUUGGUGUCACGGGGAAUUAGGACUGUUACCUUGAAAAAAUUAGAGUGUUUAAAGCAGGCUCACGCUUGAAUACAUUAGCAUGGAAUAAUGAAAUAGGACAUCCGAUUCUAUUUUGUUGGUUUCUAGGAUCGAUGUAAUGAUUAAUAGGGAUAGUUGGGGGCAUUAGUAUUCAAUUGUCAGAGGUGAAAUUCUUGGAUUUAUUGAAGACUAACUACUGCGAAAGCAUUUGCCAAGGAUGUUUUCAUUAAUCAAGAACGAAAGUCAGGGGAUCGAAGACGAUCAGAUACCGUCGUAGUCUUAACCAUAAACUAUGCCGACUAGGGAUCGGAUGAUGUUAAUUUUUUAAUGACUCA
This 509-nucleotide ribosomal RNA is filed under the name uncultured glomeraceous AM fungus. RNAcentral describes it as "SSU rRNA". It matches the Rfam family "Eukaryotic small subunit ribosomal RNA", at positions 569 to 1078 of the family's 1831-position model. Lineage: Eukaryota; Fungi; Glomeromycota; Glomeromycetes; Glomerales; Glomeraceae. The record is from RNAcentral.